Molecule: long non-coding RNA, 483 nt
Organism: Panthera uncia (snow leopard)
Lineage: Eukaryota; Metazoa; Chordata; Mammalia; Carnivora; Felidae
Exons: 3
Source: RefSeq, a predicted model, not a curated record
GGAGACAGCACCCAAAGCAGCUCCAGGCUCUGAGCUGUCAGCACAGACAGCCUGACACGGGGCUCCAACUCACAAGCUGUGAGAUCAUGACCUGAGCCGAAGUGGGACGCUUAACCGACUGAGACACCCAGGCGCCCCUUUAGUCCCGUUUUAUGGAUGGAGCCAUUGAGAACCCUCAUCUUUCCUUCAUUUUUAAAGAGUUGCUUCGCCAUCAGAUAAGCACGGAAGACGCCGGGAUGUUGCCUGCUCCUUCUGAGACAUUCACGGGGGACUUCGAUACGACCUGUGGACUCUGGCCCGUCUCAUAGAACACCAACUGACUUCCCUCCCCAGUGUUGCCUUCAUUUGCGUGUUCAUUUCAAUAUUCCUGAUCGAUAAUUGUGCCUAUUCUUCAGAUUCUCUUGUGAACUGGUAAUAACAUGUGCCUGGUUCCCCCAUUGAUUUAGGAGUUUAAUAAACUUUAACACAUGUUCAGUUUUAUAU